RNAcentral lists this ribosomal RNA (400 nucleotides) under uncultured bacterium. RNAcentral describes it as "bacterial SSU rRNA". It matches the Rfam family "Bacterial small subunit ribosomal RNA", at positions 356 to 773 of the family's 1533-position model. The record is from RNAcentral.
GGGGAAUAUUGGACAAUGGGCGCAAGCCUGAUCCAGCCAUGCCGCGUGAGUGAUGAAGGCCCUAGGGUUGUAAAGCUCUUUCAACGGUGAAGAUAAUGACGGUAACCGUAGAAGAAGCCCCGGCUAACUUCGUGCCAGCAGCCGCGGUAAUACGAAGGGGGCUAGCGUUGUUCGGAAUUACUGGGCGUAAAGCGCACGUAGGCGGAUACUUAAGUUAGGGGUGAAAUCCCGGGGCUCAACCCCGGAACUGCCUUUAAUACUGGGUAUCUCGAGUUCGAGAGAGGUGAGUGGAAUUCCGAGUGUAGAGGUGAAAUUCGUAGAUAUUCGGAGGAACACCAGUGGCGAAGGCGGCUCACUGGCUCGAUACUGACGCUGAGGUGCGAAAGCGUGGGGAGCAAAC